This 331-nucleotide unclassified non-coding RNA is filed under the name soil metagenome. Its description in RNAcentral is "partial contains 5.8S ribosomal RNA, internal transcribed spacer 2, and large subunit ribosomal RNA". The stretch from base 1 to 120 matches the Rfam family "5.8S ribosomal RNA", at positions 35 to 154 of the family's 154-position model. The record is from RNAcentral.
GAUGAAGAACGUAGUGAAAUGCGAUAAGUAAUGUGAAUUGCAGAUUUCAGUGAAUCAUCGAAUCUUUGAACGCACAUUGCGCCCCCUGGUAUUCCGGGGGGCAUGCCUGUUCGAGCGUCAUUUCACCACUCAAGCCUCGCUUGGUAUUGGGCAACGCGGUCCGCCGCGUGCCUCAAAUCGACCGGCUGGGUCUUCUGUCCCCUAAGCGUUGUGGAAACUAUUCGCUAAAGGGUGUUCGGGAGGCUACGCCGUAAAACAACCCCAUUUCUAAGGUUGACCUCGGAUCAGGUAGGGAUACCCGCUGAACUUAAGCAUAUCAAUAAGCGGAGGA